GACGUAGGGCGCAAGCGUUGUCCGGAUUUAUUGGGCGUAAAGAGCUCGUAGGCGGCUUGUCGCGUCGACUGUGAAAACCCGUGGCUCAACCAUGUGGUCUGCAGUCGAUACGGGCAGGCUAGAAUUCGGUAGGGGAGACUGGAAUUCCUGGUGUAGCGGUGAAAUGCGCAGAUAUCAGGAGGAACACCGGUGGCGAAGGCGGGUCUCUGGGCCGAUAUUGACGCUGAGGAGCGAAAGCGUGGGGAGCGAUCCGG
This 254-nucleotide ribosomal RNA is filed under the name uncultured bacterium. Its description in RNAcentral is "partial 16S ribosomal RNA". It matches the Rfam family "Bacterial small subunit ribosomal RNA", at positions 524 to 776 of the family's 1533-position model. The record is from RNAcentral.